UGGAGUAGCUCAGUCGGUAGAGCAGCUGAUUCGUAAUCAGCAGGUCGCAGGUUCGAGUCCCGUUUCC
RNAcentral lists this transfer RNA (67 nucleotides) under chicken gut metagenome. It matches the Rfam family "tRNA". From Rfam's summary of the family: Transfer RNA (tRNA) molecules are approximately 80 nucleotides in length. The record is from RNAcentral.